RNAcentral lists this ribosomal RNA (288 nucleotides) under Triticum aestivum (bread wheat). RNAcentral's name for it is "partial small subunit ribosomal RNA". Lineage: Eukaryota; Viridiplantae; Streptophyta; Magnoliopsida; Poales; Poaceae. The record is from RNAcentral.
AUGACUCGAUGCACUGACUGCCCAUGGACUGCGCCACUGAAGCGGUUGACUUCGAAGGAGGAGAAGAAUGGGAACUUUGGGCGCAAGUUCGUCAAAUGCGAGAGCAAGUCGGAGGGGCAGAUUAGAUCUGAAAAUGCCACCAUUUCGAGUGGAUGGAUGAUUACAUCCAGAGGCUUCAAGGGUCGGGCUUGCUGGAUUCAAGGGGGAAUGCAAUCCGCGAGUCCAAUCUGCCCCAUGACAGUGCCGCUCCGGCAGCAGCAGCGCGUCCGGAAUACCCGACGGUGUUAG